AGCUUUGAUAGAGAGGACAGACGCCUCGUUAUUCCAGCAGACCUGGUAUUGUUCUUCAAUUCUUAAUCCCAACGACUACACGGAUCUCUAUUCACCAUCCAGCUCAAAGAUUCCUAUUCACCAUCCAGCUCAAAGAUUCCUCUUCACCAUCCAGCUCUAUUAAACACCAGGUAUGUCUCCUCAAAUCUUGAGCUAUUUCGAAGGUUAUGAUUAACAAAGGGAAGUGUGCGAUUAACUAACCCACUAGAUUCAUCUUUUCGUUUUUUGGUCGAAUAGAUUUAUCUAUUUGAAUUGUUCUCUUUCUUGAAAAAAAAAAUAUUCUGUUGAAUAUGCAACUUGUUUCCAGUCAAGCACAGAUAACUUAAAAGGAAUGAACAAUAGAAAGAAAUUCAAGAGAAUAAUUUAACAAAAAUCGAUUGUUUCAACAUCCAAUCGUACAACACACCUUUUUCACUGCGUUCAUGGAUGGUUGCAGAAGCCUCUGAUUAUAAGAUGCAAGACAUACAGAACAAAACAUCACAACACUAAUGGUCAAGACGCAUUUCACAAUCAUUAGGUGAAUAUAUCUUUUCAACACAACAAUAACCUCCUACAGACAACAAAUAGACAUCUUAGAUUGCAUGAGAUCAGCUUGCAACUCUAAAACCAACGAAAACUAAAUGUUUGGUUGCUUUUGAUGUUCUCGUUAGAGCCCGUAGUCUUCCUUCUCUUAAGUGAAAAUCCAAGCAUCACAUCCAUUUCCUGAGGCUUACUAUUACAUUUUAGUCCAUGUCGUCUCAAUCCCUUCAACGUAUGGGAUGAUAUUGUGUGAUACCACGUUUUGGUGGCAAUUUCCGAAGAAUGAAAAGAACCAAUGAAGAUGGUACAAUCUCCACCAGCUGCAACGAAAAGUAUGUUGAAGUUAAGGGUUGCGCAAAAAAUAUCUACGUCACAACAAAAUGAAUCGCCUAGCACCUUCCUAGUACAAUUUUAUAACAGAACAUUCUAUAAAAUUAAAGUUCUCUUCUUCUGCAAGCAUCAAGUGUGACCAAGAACCAAAACUUACCAGGUAAUAUAUGAAGUUUAGAAUUGGAUGAUCCAAUACAUCAAGAUUUGCAGCUUUAUCAAAUGCAUUGAAGCACAUCUGGUACAUAGGAAAAUGACAGUACAAGCCAAUGUUAAAUGAACUUCAUUCAGAAGAACAAAGACAUCAGAAACAUAGAUGCGACUCUUAUGACUGCUGCCAAAUAAAUAGCUUGAAUAACAGCCAACUUAUUGCUAAUGAUAAUACAACUCGGUGACAGUUGUGCAACCAAUUUAUGAAUUUUUCAAGUUGUCAUUUAGCUAACCACUAGCUUUGAAAAUACUUCCAUCAAAAUUUUGCAAGCAAAAAUACAAACUCACCAUAAUGCAUCUAACCAGGAAGCAUGAGAAACAUAUGGUGGUCACAUAGCCAACCUGUCCAGAAGAAAAGCAAAAACAACACUUGACAACUAACAAAAGUGUAAACAGGUGAGUAUAAUAAGUCCAAUUACUAUCCAAACAAAAAAUACCUCUUGCAACUUCUUACGCCUCCCUUUAGAUUCUACAGGGAACCGCUGCAACAUCAAGAAAAGCCUACCACAAGAUGAAGUUAAGAUAUUACAUCAGAAUGCCAUCUAAUUAUUAGAGGCAAGCAGAGAUGCCAAUGCAUACAGUUAUCAGAAGAACACAGCUAAUUGAACCAAUAUGAAGGUAUUACAAUACAUUCCCCUUUAAACUUAGAUGUCCUCAAAAUGACCCCAAUGGGCCUACUGUUUCAUCUUAGCAUAACCCAUAACAUGCUAAGAGAUUCAAGAAACCACUUCAUAGGCAAACCUUGACCUUGAUUAAGACCAGCUAUAAAAUACAGUCUGACAAUCUCAAGGACACAAAUGAAAAGAAUAUAUGCCAGUCAGAUUCUCUUGCUAGUCUCACUGGACCUGGUCUGACCAUUCUCUUGUUGUCUUGCUUUCUACCUUGGGUUUCUUUUUCUCUUUUCCCCCUUCUGCUGUGAUGGAAUAUGAUAGAAAAUAGAGGGAGUAAUGGGCUACUCAAGAAGUGUCUUUAAGUUCCCCUCAACCAAAUGACACUGACAGUAGUAGUGAAAAAUAUAAUACAUGCCUUGACAAUACUGCAUUAAGCAACAAGUAAAAGCUUAAAAAAAUCUACUGAACUCACUUUGUUAGGCAAAUCCCAUCAGAUCAAACUCAGAUGUACUCAGCAUACAUAACAACCGGGAAUUUGUCUCACAUGCAAGGAAGACAUCAAAAUACCUCUUCCCCUAAGCAAAUAGAUAAUUAAUGAAGAAUACAAUAUAACUCUCAAAGGGGAUUUAAACAAUUCUCAAUUUUUUAUUAUUCCUCAAAAUCAAUUGUCAGUCAUAUCCUAUCUAAAGACAAAGAAGUUAUAGAUAUUUUCAGUAGACUUGUGAAUCCUAUUAGUCCUAGAACUUGGGGGGAAAUAAAAUAACAACAAUGCUAAUAACUUCCUUAGUAUGACGAGUUACUACUUCCUAAAUAAUAAUUGAUAUCUUAAACUUCCAAAUAUUAAAAUUAGAAAUUAAAGAUAUUAAUAAUAACUCUGAAGUUAAAGAGGUCUUGAAGAACAUAAAAGAUAGGAUGAGCCUGUGGCCCAAUGGUCCUUAUAUGGAAGUGCUUUGGAAAGGUUCAAGUUUGGCUAACCAAGCUAUACAAUGGCAUGCUAAAAUAGAAAAGAAUAAAAAAAGUAAAAGAGGAGCACUUUAGUUCCUGCUAUUAAGAAUAAAUGAGGAGCACUUUAGUUCCUGUUAUUAAGAAUAGAAGGAGAUAUUCAGAGGUAUAUAAACUAAAUGAGAAACGAUAAACUUUGAGAAAUUGAUUACAUGCAGACAUGGGACACUACUAAAGUGUUGAAGAACCAUUUGACUUUAUGCCUAGUAGAUCCAUAGUUUCAAAUCACGAUAGCAGCUGCAUUUGCAGGUCGUGGUUGCAGGCAUUGGAGAACAGGCUUGUAAUGGCUAUCACAUAACAUUAACGGCCAAACACAAAACAUUUUUUAAUAAGCAUAAAUUAGUUUGAGAAGGUAGCAAAUAGCAAAACUUAUUAUCUUCUAACUGUUAAAAACAUAUUUUUAUCAACAAAAAUUAUAGCUUAAAUUUUCCAUUUUUUUCAACUUCCUAUUUCAUUAAAAAUGUUGUACAAUAACUAAAAUAAGUAUUAAAUCUAAAUUCAAGAUUUAAACUUACUAUUAAAUUUAGAAGUUCUAAACUUAUUAUUAAAUUUGCUUAUCCGAAGUCUCAAAUUAUACUUGGCAUUGGCAGAACUUAAGAUUUUAUUAUAUAAUUAAUAAUGUAAAUUAAUAGAAUAGCAAAUAAUGAAAAGAAAUUUAAAAAAAUAUUAAAAAAAAAACAACACAACUUUUACAAAAACCACAUGCAGAAUACAGACAUUUAUGGUAAUUCCAAACUUAAAAGGAGAGGUUGAAGAAUUAGGAGGAGAAAUUUGAAUAAAAUUUUGAGAAGGUAGAAACUACUGCUUUGGACGGCUGCUCAGAAAUGAAAAGGAAGAGAACAGUGAGGCGAAUGCAUUAUUAGUAACAGCUGAUACCUACUUAAUAGGUAAGGGACUACUUGAAAACCAAUAAAUAAUGGUCAUUACAUGAAGGAUCUACAACAAAGCCUGUAAUUUUAGUAAAAAGAUUUAACGGGAAAUAUAUAAUGGAAAAAGGAUUUGCACAUGGUGAUCAUUGACCUAGAAGAAAGCAUACUAAUGUACCUAAGAUAAUUAUUUUGUGGGUGCUAAGGGAGAUACAAGCCAAUCUCAAAGAGGAGACAGACAACUAUAAGGCAUCAGGAGGGGACAGAAGAGUUUCUCACAACAGUGGACUUACAUUAGGGAUAGGCAUUGAAGUCAUCUUAGUUAUGGAUGAGCUGACCAGUCACAUUCAAGAUGAUAUCCAAGGUGCAUGUUAUUUGCAAAUGGUAUAAUCUUAGUGGAUUAUACUAGUGGAGUUGAUGAAAAGAUGAAGAUAUGAAGGACUCUUGCAAGCGGGCUUUAAACUAUAAAUAACAUUAAGUAUAUGCAAUGUGAGUUUAGCUCCCACAAACAAAACGGAAAUGAGAUUCAUUUGGAUAGAGUUUUUGGUGGCUAAAUGCUACCAAUUCAAGUAUUAAGUGUCUAUCAAGGUCAAUACAGGAUGGAUGAAACGGAAGAAUGAGACAGGUGUAUUAUGUGACUAUAAGAUCCUUAACAAAGCUUAGAGUAAGUUCUGCAGGACUAUGGUUAUACUAGCUAUGUUGAAUGGAAGUAGAGGUGAUCAUUUGGUUAUUUUGGUUCCAAACCGUACCAAAUUUGAUAUUGAUUCAGACUUGGUGUCUAACACAUCAAUCCGUGAAAAAUGAUCCAUACAUCCAAUCUCAACUAGUUUAGGAUUAAGGCUUAGUUGUUGUUAUCUAACAAUCCUAAUUUUAAAAUAUAAAAUUGAAUAAAAAAUUUAAUUAAAUCCUCCUUGACUCCAUCAUUAUCUCCUGAUUUGAAGAAACUCAAUCUCAACCCUUUUAGUGUUAAAGAAAAAAGAAUUGAAGUUGUUUUCCUUCACAUCCUUAGAAAUAAUAGAACAUAGUUAAUCCAUCACAAGACUAAAGUUGGAAGACUAAAUUCACUAAGAACACGAGAAUUAGAUAAGUCCUUAAUUUCCAUUGACUUCUUGACAAUGUGUUUUUCUUCUUCCCUUAGGAUCAAAGCCUCAAACUCUUGCUCAUUCACAUCAAUUCUCUGUAAUAUGUUUCUCAAAAUUUUACAACUCAAUCUUAUCACCUUGAUUUCAACAUGUAAAGCUCAAAAAUUAAAGCUUUAGACUCUUCAAGUUGCUCUUCAAGCUCUUCAUUAUCAAAUUCUUACUCGGUCUUUUUAGAGUUGUAAUUAUAUUCUCAAGAACUAAUAUAGCAUGUGGAUCAGCCUUGAGUUUAGAGUUGAAAAAUCAAAAUUAGUGAGGAAGGGUUCUGCAUAAGAUCUGUUGACAUGGAACUGACAUGGUAUCUACAAGCACACUGAACAGCAACAUGAAAUUCAGCAGCUUCCAAGAGGAUCAGACUUAAGUUUCCUAAAUAAAAAUAGAAUGCUUAAACUUCCCACAAAAUAAAAAUAGAAUUCUUAAACUUCCCACCACUAAAAUUUCUAAAUUAAAGAUCAUAAAUUUACAAUUAAAAAGAAUAACUUAUAAGAAUGGUUGCUAAACUGAAUCUUCCUUGACUCAUCAAUAAGCUACUAUUGAAUUGUGAUCUAAAAAUAAUAAGCAACUAAGUCUACAUCCAUUUAGAUCCAUUUUAGAUAUUUACCCAAGGUAAUCCAACCAUGCAGCAUAAUAUGAUUAUCACAAACUUGGCCAAUAAUCUUGACAUGGCGUUAAUUUUUCCACAUGGCAUGGCAUCACAAGGGAAUUACAGUCACAAGUAAAAAUUGAGUAUAAGAAAUUGAGCAACUAUGUUCUAUGUAGGUUGACUGGUACACCAAAAGGACAAUACCAGAAACAUGUAUUUGUUAAAUGGUGAUAACAUAGAACUAAGAUUUCCUGAAACUUAGUGUCUAGGGAGAGAAAUUUAGUCUUCAGAAGCUAAAAACAUAAUAUUGCUCAUGGGCCUUUUGUCAAGCAAAUAAGUUCUCUUUGGCAUACUUAGAAUAAGAAAAAACCACCAUCUUCUAAGUAUGCAAAUCCAUAAAUGAUAUUACCAUAUUGCAUGCAAUAGAAUUCAUUUAUUGAAGUUUAAAAAAAAUAUUUACUGAAUGAGACAAUCAUUUGUGCAUUGUGACCAAAAAUCAAAAUCAAGCUAUGUAGUAGGUAAAAUGGAAAUAUAAUUUAAAUUACCUUCCACCAUAAAGUAGAAAACCAAGAGCUGCAAACAAAGACACCCCUGCCAAUAUAUACAUGUAAGAACAAAAUAUGUUAGUUAAAAGGAUGAUGAAGUAUUGAACUGUAACAAGUUAUUGAAUAUCUGGAUUCUAGAUAUAUGGAAAAUAAAAAUAAAAAUAAAAUAAAAAAGCACCUGCAAAGAACAUCUUAGAGAUGAUGACCAGCAAUCGGGUAUCUUUCCACCAUAAAAUCAACCACAUAACAAUCUGGAAUAAUUAAAUCACAAUAAUUAAGGUUGAAACCCAGUAGUUUUGUCUAAGAUAGCAACACAUAAGCAUUCCAUGAAGCAUGCAACUGAAAAUGUAUCAACCAAGCAAUUGUUUGAAAGGAGGACCUGCAAGGAGAAUGUAUUGCCAGGAUAUACCAAGUAGAAAGUCAACAAUGCAUCACAGAAAAUUCUCAAACCUUCAAGUAAUCCUAUGAACAUUACCAUUAAAAAAGUGAACUGAUCCCAUAUUUUCAAAUUCCAAACCAUUUUUCAACUGUCUGCAAAACUGUAAGAUAAAGGGCAGGGAAACUGGAUGAUAAACCAGUUUGCAGCAUGAAGCAUGCUGAAGUGCAAUCCCAGGCCCAACACAUUGUCAUUGUCAUUGCCAGACUAAAGGUGAUCGAACAAGAUGAUUGAUUAGCACAGAAGUGCCAUUUCCUUCAAAGUAUUCUUAUGACAGCUUAAAAAUACUUUGAAAUACAACUUCUUGUGAAUAUUUGAAUUUUGAAGUAUACAGCUGUGUUUUACAUAUCUAUAAGGAGAUGCAGUGGGAUACUGUAAUAGCGGAAGUUAUUGCUAAAGCAACUACUAGCCAUAACUUAUGCAUCUACAAGGUUCUUGUACAUUACUUUCCUUGGUUUUGAAACACAAAGAAACACCUUAAGAAGUCCAUAGCAACCCUUUUAUUUGGUACUAUCAUUUGAAACUGUCUUCAUUUAUACAUGUUUGAGGUAUGGCACUAAAUUAUUUUAUCUUCUCCUCCAUUUCUUAUCACUUUUUGCCACUCUAAUCUAAUAGCAGGAUUUUUUAUCGUUCUAUUUCUUUAUUUAGUACAAUCUAUUAGUUUCUUCUAGUGGCUACUUAAAAUCUAAGGAAAUCCAUUUCCUCAAUUCUUUCAGUUUCCGACUUUGCUGCCAGAUUCCGUUAUUAACAAUUUCACAUUGCUGGAAGUAGCCUAAAAAUUCCUGCUUUUCUCUGAUACCCUGUAUUACAUGUUGUAUUAGAGCUUUUGCCGCAUUAAUUUUUCACAACCAGCUAACAGACAAAAGGAGCAUAAUAAUGCUAAAAGGUAAGAAUAAAUUUAUAUAGAGAGCAAGACUGGCUUGAAAAAUAAGCCUUUAUUGAACUUGGUGGGUAUAACAUGAUAAAAUGUAAUAAAAUAUUAAUUCAACAGAAAAAUGAAGAGAUCUAUCUUAAUAGACCCCAAUACAAUCAACAAACAAGUUUUUAUUUCAAAAUAUGGUUCUUAACUUGCAUAAAGUAAUGAACACACACAAAACAUAUCAGAUGAUCAAGCCUUGAGGCUUGAGUUCAUAAUUUUAUAAUGAUUUAUGCCAAAACUACGCAAAUUUUCCACUGCAACGCUGGACAAGUUAACUAGCAACAAGCAAGUACCAUCUACGAGGAUAUUCAGAAUAUUAUUUAGUUUAAUUCUUAGUUUCAUUGUAACAACCUACUGAUGUAGGAAUUAUUAGGGAUUUUAGGACUGUUUAUUUUAGGAAGAAAUAUUUUACUUAGAUAUUUAUGUGAUUUGUAGUUCCUAAUAAGUAUUGAAUUUAGGUUUCAUAAUCCUAACAUGAGUGAAAUACUCUACACAUUGGCCUAGUUUUUCCACAUAUUCUGGAAGCCUUUUUUAUCAGAACUGAUAUGAGCUAAAGGUCUCUACCGACCGAGAAUUUGUUUCUUACACCAUUGUUCUGCUCGUUCUAUCAAUUCCUCAUCACCUAUUCUUCAUUCCUUGCAUAUUAUAUUGCAGGUAACGAAAAUAGGCCUAUAACUAUGCAAAAUUCUCAAAAUUCAUAAAAUUAAUAAAUAUUUAAAGAUAUAAUCAAACUAACCAUUUACACAAUAGCACUUCAAAACAAUUUAGUAUCUUGGAUGAUUUGAGCUCUUCAACUUAAGAAUUUAUUGAGAAGUAGAUUAAAAGCACUUGAAGAAUCUUGAAGUUGAGAGAAAUUUUGAGAAACUUGAGAGACAGUUGAGAGAAAUCAAAGAAGGGUGAAUUUUGUCUAGGAAGGCAAGUGGAAGGCUUCAAAAUGUGAAGAAAAAAGUGUCUUCUGCCUUCAAUAAUUCAUACACUACAUGCAUGCAGUCUCCAGCAACAAUUCUAAAGGUUCCAACCCAUCAAAUGAAAGUAUCGGCCAUUAUGGCCAUUAAGUCACGACCUGUAACAGUUGUGACCGUUGUGUAAUGGCUGUAAUGGACGUUAUCAACACAAAUUUUUUCUCAUCUUGAAAUAAUAGCCUUAAUGGCCAUGGCUCCUUUGAAAACCUUUAAAUAAUGGCCUUUGUUUAAAACCAUGAUUAUGGAAUGAAGAAUCUUAAGGCAUAGUUACCUGAGUUGUAGUACUCUUAAGUCGUGGUACAAGUAUACUAAAUUAGGUAUGCAAUACACCAACUAAUGAAAUAUAGGAUACACAGCGGUACACUUAAUUGAUUUGCUACGACGGUCUUAGUUGGUAAGCCAAUAAUUUGGAGCAUAUAAAUUACAUUUAUUCAAUAUAAUAUAAUUUUUAAAUAAAUUAAAUAUGUGAUUAAUAGUUUAUAAUAUUUAUAUUUUCUACAAAUUUUUAUUUUUAACUAAUAAAAUAGUCAUUUACACUCCAAAACCAAGAUGACAUUGCCAAUUAUUCUACUAACAUGCAAAUCCACCAUCCCACUUAGUGUUUCAAAAUGUAUCUUCUUAUUCUUCUUCCUUUGCUGCAGCCUUUUUUUUCCUCCUCUUCAUCUUGUACCUAUAUACUAUUGCGCACAUGCAUAUUUAUUGAUCUUUCUUCCUUCCUUCCUUUCCAUCUUUAAUUCCUCAUUGGAACCUUUAUUUGGGCAACUUAGAUCGCAUACCCAGUGAUUUUGGACAUAAAAGUACUAUGUUUCAGUACACAACCAAGAUUGCAAUUUCCCAAGGAGGUGAGAGAAUUUGGUAACCACGCCUCUAAGGAGUCUGUUAAAUAAGGUAAGCCAAUUGGAUUUGGCUCAUGUAAGUUCCCCAUACAUGCUACACCUGCUCUCAUGAAAUAUGAGAAAAAGUUCAAUGUAAAAUACAUAGCCCACUAAAGAAGAAAACACUGAAGUACAACUUCCCCAUCCCUAUUCCCUAGGGCUAAAAUAUUAGAUUUGUUAGUUAGUUGCUACUAUCUUUCCAAGUAAAUUUUGUUGUCUUCCAACUCUUGAUUCCCUUUUAACCAGGGAAGUAAAAAAAUUUGCAUUGGCUUUAGACUCCACAAAGCCUAUGCAAAUACCAACUCAAGAAGAAGACUCGCAUUCACUCCUCUCUUUAACACUAACUCCCCUCUAGAAACAAUUUCUGAUUUGUUAAUCAAACAAUAUAGUUUUAACUAAUAAUUUCUAAAAUUUGAAAGUUCUUACCAGAAUCAAGAAUUAUAAUAGGGGUUAAGGAGGAUAAAGUCCCUAAACAAUAAAAUACAAUACAUGAAAGAAUCUACAAGGUUAUUUGCAUUUUAUAUUGUUUGUGGGUGAAACUAGUGAAUAAGUUAAUCAAAAGUAAGGAGUUGCGGAUAACAACUCUUGAGAUUUAGGGUUUUGGGCUAAGUAAAAGUAAGACAAUACAUAUGCAUUACAAACAGAACAUAUGCAUUACACAUUUCGCUCUUAUAAAAGGAAUGGAAGGGAAAUUCAACUGGAUAGCUUUUAGUUCCAAAUGCAACUAAUUCAAGUAUUCAGGUUCUAUCAUUUAGAAAUAUCAAAUAAUAAAUGAUGAUGUGUUAUAACUAUUAGGAUCAAAAGGAGGUAGAUUAAAUCGAGGAACAUGAAGGGUAUAUGACACAAUGGUACGAUCAUUGAUAAAGUGAAAGGUACGGACUGAUUGUUGAGCACCUAUAGUACAAUAUAUCUACAUGAUAAGUGUGACAAAAAUGCAAUUGUUAAGAUGGAUUUUUGGUCUUACAAUAAUGAAUGAGAAAAAAAAUAAAUGACCAUAUUCACUAGAGAGUGCAUAUUGCAAACAUCAAGCAUAAAAUGAAGGUGUUUAAUAAAAUGAUUUGAUCAUGUUCAACAUAAAGAACAAGAUAUUCCAAUACAAAAAGUGAUAAAUUAGUGAUGGAAGGAGCAAGGAGAGAGAGGGGAAGAAACCUAAAAUGGUGCAAAAGGAAAUAGUAUUGAAGGAUAUUAAUGGAAAAUUGGUAUAAAAGAAAGUUGAAUAGCAAAAAGAAAAGAUUCAUAUAACCGACCCCAACCAGUUUGAGAUUAAGCUUAGUUUUAGUUGUUGGAAGUCUUUUAGAGCCUAUCAUGUUAGAUAAUACCACCACCAUAGGAGCGAAUAUUUCACUAAACAAUAAAGUGUAUUCUCUUUACUUUGACGCAAACUUGAAUGAAAAUGAAAAUUCUCAAAUUAUUAAAUUUGGAAAAUCAUACUAGACCCGUCCCAAAAUCAACAAAGCCAACAAUUAAUGGACGAAUGUAGAUGCCAUUGUAGUCGGUGCAAUAUCAAGCUUUGCUACUAUAAAUCCCUCUUUACUUGUCUUGAUUGUUUGAAUGAGAGUAAAAGACAAGGAUUCUAAGAAUAGGGCCCCGUGGUUGCCCAAAUUGUUUCUUUGACAAAGGCCACUGGAUCCACUGCACCAAGAAAAAAAUGCAGAGGAAAAAUAGAUAAUAGAGAGCAAAAGCUUAAAAAGAGAGUUGUAGGGAGAGGGAGGAGGCAACAAGAGCAAUAUGAAAUGCAUACAGCGAAGCAAACAAAUCCCUUGUGCUAGAAUCCAAUCGGGAAUCCGAUAUUACUCGUGUUGCAGUGCCAACGGUAAAAAAAAAUUAAAAUUAAAAAAGCCACAUAUUUUACUCUUUAAAUUUUUCAAACACAUUAUAUGAAUUACUCACUUUCUCUAACUCUUUGAAUUACUCACGUCCUCUUAACUCUUUCAAACACAAUAUUUUACAUCCAUUGUGGUUUUUUAAUUAUUUCCAUCAUAUUUUUUUUUACACUGUGACACUGCCACGUAAGAAUAUUGCCAUAGAGCUUACAAUAUUCUAGCACGAGGGAUUUUAUUGUAACAUUUUAGAAGUCUUAGGAUUUUGUAAUAUCAAAAUGAAGAUAGGUGACGAAGGUGCAAUACUCUCCAAAGUUGAGGGAUAGCUAGUAAAAAUUACUCAUCCAAAACAUAGAAAGCGAAGACAAUGUUAUGCAUAAUCUAUGGUGAAUAAAGGUCAGUAAUAAUCCAAGCAAUAAAUUGAUGAGCAAUUAAAUGCGCAAGUUAAUUUUUAUUGGGUUAUAAUACAAUGCAAAAAUGGAGGGGAAAAUUUGUGUAUUUUCAGUGUUGUUAAAGGAGACACAGGCGCCUUUCAAAAGGAGCUCGCCUUGCCUCGCGAGGUACUAGGCGCCAAGCGGUCGAGGCGUCACCUAGCACCGCAUGCUUUUUUUUUUUUUUCUUAUUUUAAAGGAUUUUAAAAUUAAAACCCAAAAUUCUUCUUCUCCCAAUACCUUCUUUUGCCUUCUCCAAACAGCAGCCAGCCAACACACAGCCUUCUCCAAACAGCAUCCAUCAUCCGACACCAGUCCACAAGUAUGAGUCUUGUCUCCUUUUCUCUUUCUUCUUCUUACUUCUCCGCCCUUCUUCUCUGGAUCUCCUUCUUCUUCUUCGCCCUUCUUCUCCGGAUCUCCUCCCUUCCUUCCCUCUCAUUAUUCUCCUCCCCACAUCAUUGUCUCCACUCCCCAACCAAUCUCCAAACAUAAUGGGUGUUGUUGUGAAUCUUAUUUUUUAUUUAGAAAUUAAUUAUAAUGGGGGUUGUUGAUUUUGAUUUGUUGUUCAUUUAUUUGUGAGAAUUAUUGUUUAUUUAUUAAGAACAAUACUGAAUGGGUCAUGGGUGUUAUUGAUUUUAAAUUGUUGCUUAUUCAUAAUUUAUUUUAGUGGUGUGGCAGUGAUACUAGUCUACUAGCAUGCCUAAUGCCUUUUUAGUUAUUUAAUUUGAUUAGAUGAUAUAAAACUAUAAUUGAUUUUAUACUUUUGGUACUUGCUAUUACAUUGGAUUGUUCAUGUUUAACUUGUUUCUUGAUAUUUUAUUAAUGCUUUAUAUUAUAUUUGAAAUCUUGAUGAGUACUGAGUAAUAGACUAGGCUAGUAGUUCUAUUCAAUAGUCUUAUUUUAUAUUUUAUUAAUAAUGUUUUAUUAUAUAUUUAUUGUUUAUAUUAUUCUAAAUAUGAAUGUUAAUCUAUGUACAUUAUAUUUAUAUGCAUAUAUCUAAAAUAUGUAAAAUUUUUAGCUUCUAUCACCUUUUUAAAAAAGGCAUCGCCUCUCGCCUCGGGCGAUAGGAGGCCUUGUCGCCUUUAUAUCGCCUCUCACCUUGAUAACACUGUGUAUUUUAAAAAUUUUCCUUAUUUUUUCAGUUUCAUAGUACUUGAAAACAAGCUCACUUCAACAUGUUUUCCAAUUUUCCAAUGAAGAAAGAGAAACCAAAAAUGGAGAAGAUAACAACAAGAUAAAGAAAAAGUAAAUUGUUUCAAUUACGUAUACAAAUUCUCGGUAUUUUGAUAAAAUAAAAUAAAAAAAAAGAAAUUAAGCAAGAUUCUUAAAUUCAUGUUCUUUAUCAUGAGAAGUAUCUCCCACUACCCAAAAUUUUUAUUUAUCUUUUUAAAAAUAUUUAAUUGUGCAUGAAUCUAUAUUCUAGACAUGAAAGAUAAACUAAAUUUGUAAACAAACAUUGUUCUUAUUCUACCAUUUUGUUGGCAAUGAAGCACAUAGCAUUUCAUAAGCAUGUAAUUACUAUGCUUGAAAUAAAACUUCCUAAGAGGAUUUGAUAGGAUCAAGGACAAUUGUUUUCCUAACCCAAAUUAGGCCCAAUUUUGCAAAAAUUAACUCAUCCAUGGAACAUCUACGUAAAAAAUUAUUUUUCCUGUCAUUGGGUGAAACACUAUAAAUUAGUAAGGAAAAAAAAUUUUUUGAUAAAAAAUAAUUUGCUUAACAAACAAACAAUUUGAACCUACACAAACUUCAUUUUUCUAUUCAUAAUUGAAUAGGUAAGAAAUUAUAUGAUAAAUUGUGAUUAUCAUCCAUCAUUCACAAACAAUUAUCACGCUCCAAUUAUUAGGUUUUAUAAUUGGACUAUAGUGUGAAAUUAUUUGUUAAUACUUUUGCCACUUUUUAUCAAUAAUGGAUUUACGUGCAAAACCUUAGGAACUUCUAAGUAAUUAUCUCCUUGCUGUCCACAACCCAAUUAGACGGUAAGUACAAAAAAGUACCAUGUGAUUUCACAAUUUUACAAUUAAGCCUCUUUUUUGCAGCAUUUUCAUUCUGUGGGAGUUUGUACUAUUAGCACUUAAGUGCAAAACAUACACUAUUAGUUCACGAUUGUGUUUGAUCAUAUUUUAGUUGCUACAAUGGAAG
Molecule: long non-coding RNA, 13423 nt
Filed under: Manihot esculenta (cassava)
Lineage: Eukaryota; Viridiplantae; Streptophyta; Magnoliopsida; Malpighiales; Euphorbiaceae
Description: long non-coding RNA (MESC_LNC005944)
Source: RNAcentral